This 464-nucleotide ribosomal RNA is filed under the name Streptococcus parasanguinis. RNAcentral describes it as "bacterial SSU rRNA". It matches the Rfam family "Bacterial small subunit ribosomal RNA", at positions 28 to 474 of the family's 1533-position model. Lineage: Bacteria; Bacillati; Bacillota; Bacilli; Lactobacillales; Streptococcaceae. The record is from RNAcentral.
GAUGAACGCUGGCGGCGUGCCUAAUACAUGCAAGUAGAACGCUGAAGCUUGGUGCUUGCACCGAGCGGAUGAGUUGCGAACGGGUGAGUAACGCGUAGGUAACCUGCCUCUUAGCGGGGGAUAACUAUUGGAAACGAUAGCUAAUACCGCAUAAAAGACGAUAUCGCAUGAUAUUGAUUUGAAAGGUGCAAAUGCAUCACUAAGAGAUGGACCUGCGUUGUAUUAGCUAGUUGGUGAGGUAACGGCUCACCAAGGCAACGAUACAUAGCCGACCUGAGAGGGUGAUCGGCCACACUGGGACUGAGACACGGCCCAGACUCCUACGGGAGGCAGCAGUAGGGAAUCUUCGGCAAUGGGGGCAACCCUGACCGAGCAACGCCGCGUGAGUGAAGAAGGUUUUCGGAUCGUAAAGCUCUGUUGUAAGAGAAGAACGAGUGUGAGAGUGGAAAGUUCACACUGUGACG